Molecule: ribosomal RNA, 159 nt
Filed under: Microsphaeropsis arundinis
Lineage: Eukaryota; Fungi; Ascomycota; Dothideomycetes; Pleosporales; Didymellaceae
Also listed under: 2 other names
Description: 5.8S ribosomal RNA
Rfam family: 5.8S ribosomal RNA
About the family: 5.8S ribosomal RNA (5.8S rRNA) is a component of the large subunit of the eukaryotic ribosome. It is transcribed by RNA polymerase I as part of the 45S precursor that also contains 18S and 28S rRNA.
Source: RNAcentral
AACUUUCAACAAUGGAUCUCUUGGCUCUGGCAUCGAUGAAGAACGCAGCGAAAUGCGAUAAGUAGUGUGAAUUGCAGAAUUCAGUGAAUCAUCGAAUCUUUGAACGCACAUUGCGCCCCUUGGUAUUCCAUGGGGCAUGCCUGUUCGAGCGUCAUCUAC